Molecule: small nucleolar RNA, 93 nt
Organism: Exophiala xenobiotica
Lineage: Eukaryota; Fungi; Ascomycota; Eurotiomycetes; Chaetothyriales; Herpotrichiellaceae
Rfam family: A. fumigatus snoRNA Afu_335
Source: Rfam
UUUCAUGAUGAAUUCCUGAUAGGGACAACUUAUGCAAUGCAUUUGAUGUGAACCGGGAGAGAUUAUUUUAGUAGAUGCUUCUCAUUUCUGAUA